GCUGGGCAUGAUGGCACAUGCCUGUAAUCCCAGCUACUCAGGAGGCUGAGGCAGGAGAAUCACUUGAACCCAGGAGGAGGAGAUUGCAGUGAGCUGAGAUCAGGCCACUGCACUCCAGCCUGGGCGACAGAGUGAGACUCUGUCUCAA
This is a non-coding RNA of Nomascus leucogenys (northern white-cheeked gibbon), 148 nucleotides long. It matches the Rfam family "Metazoan signal recognition particle RNA". Rfam says of the family: The signal recognition particle (SRP) is a universally conserved ribonucleoprotein. The record is from Rfam. NCBI's taxonomy places the organism in Eukaryota, Metazoa, Chordata, Mammalia, Primates, Hylobatidae.